UACGUAGGGGGCAAGCGUUGUCCGGAAUUAUUGGGCGUAAAGGGCGCGUAGGCGGCUGUACAAGUCAAAGGUGAAAUCCCUCGGCUCAACUGAGGAACUGCCUUUGAAACUGUACGGCUUGAGGCCGGGAGGGGGUAGCGGAAUUCCCAGUGUAGCGGUGAAAUGCGUAGAUAUUGAGAGGAACACCUGCGGCGAAGGCGGGUUGCUGGGCUGAUACUGACGCUGAGGCGCGAAAGCCAGGGGAGCGAACGGG
Molecule: ribosomal RNA, 253 nt
Filed under: uncultured bacterium
Lineage: Bacteria
Description: partial 16S ribosomal RNA
Rfam family: Bacterial small subunit ribosomal RNA
Source: RNAcentral